RNAcentral lists this unclassified non-coding RNA (210 nucleotides) under Hevea brasiliensis (rubber tree). The record is from RNAcentral. Lineage: Eukaryota; Viridiplantae; Streptophyta; Magnoliopsida; Malpighiales; Euphorbiaceae.
AGAGAGGACCGGAUUUACGCCCUCUUCCACCGGCUGAUAAGACAAAAGAAGAUAUACUUCUCUUUUUCAAGCUUUAUGUCCCAGAAAAGGAAGAGCUUCGGUAUCUUGGGAGAAUGCUUGUGAAGGCAACAGGAAAACCGUUGGAGAUCCUUGUAAAAUUGAAUGAAAUGGCUGGGUUUUCACCAAAUGAAGAAAUUGAACUUUUUGAGG